CUGUGAUCAAGCGGUGUUCUUUUGCUCUUCUUUGCUUUGGGGAUGGUGGGUGAGGUUGCAAAGAGUUUUCAGGAGGAUUCUUCUUUUCCUUUGCAGAAUCCCAGACUGCGUAUUAGAGCUGCUCUUCAUCUCUGCUCGGAAAAGCUUCACCAAAAGAGAAUGGAGAUGAGGAAGGCAAUGGAGAAUGAUGAGGACUAUUUGCAGUCAGCACCCCAACUUCUGCCUUGGCUCUUCCCAUCAAGCCAGAGCAGUUUCUUGGCCUGCGCAACCUGCAGACUGACCUCUCGUGUGUAUCCGUGCUGGACUGAGGGUAUCAAGAGAAGAAGGCAUUUGCUUCAGAGGACAGUACUUUGAUGCUUUCCAGGGCUAAUGGCCAAAGUUCUCAAAGCACUUUUUUUUCUUUUUUUUUUUUCCCCCAUCAGUGAUUUAUACAUUUGUCAAUCUUUCCAUCUUCAUUUACAACUCCGAAUUUAGGUUUUAGGUGAACAAGAACCCUGAAACCAGCUGAAGCCAUAUCAGACAUGAAGCCAUAUCAGACAUAGUAAGGACAUGUGUCUGUGAGGAAGUAAUUCAGAGUGAUUCUCUGGUGUCCUUUGGACAGCUUUCCUCUGGUCCUCUGCACUAAGCAUCCCCAAGGGAUAUUUCAAAGCUCUCGGAAUGAUCUGUCAUUCUCUCUUCCACUAGAGUCUCCAUUAGAAAAGCGUGACUAUUCCUUGCCCAUGUGGAAAAGAAGUCCUCCUUGCGUUGUUUCUAAGCAAAACCUCUUUCUUGUGUUCUAUGGACAGAAACCACUUGGCUAGACAAACUCAAUCAUUGCAAAUGGAAGGAGUGGAACUACUUCAGCACCGUGCUUCGGCUUCUAAGCAGAACUGUAAUGUAGGUGGGGACGUAGCAAGAGGACAUGGCCAAGCCAGGGUGGACUUGAAAGUGCCGUGUCCGAGCCACAGCAAGAAGUCCGUGAUUGCCCCUUGGAGACUGCUGCUCACCUAGUAGCACAGCAGCUGGAACGCUUCUGGAUACUGCUGAUGGAUUGCCACGAAUCAGGCAGUGACACAAGCUACGAGAACGACGGAAGUGACUGGAAGUGAUGCUUCUCCCUGUUCUCCAUUGCAAUUUGUGAAAGAAAGGAGAAGAGAGGAGAAGAAGAAAGGAGAAGACGGGAGGGAAGGGGAGGGAAUGAAGAGAACG
This is a non-coding RNA of Anas platyrhynchos (mallard), 1188 nucleotides long. Lineage: Eukaryota; Metazoa; Chordata; Aves; Anseriformes; Anatidae. The record is from RefSeq and is a predicted model, not a curated record.